UGGGGAAUAUUGCACAAUGGGCGAAAGCCUGAUGCAGCAACGCCGCGUGAGGGACGACGGCCUUCGGGUUGUAAACCUCUUUAGCAAGGAAGAAGCGAAAGUGACGGUACUUGCAGAAAAAGCGCCGGCUAACUACGUGCCAGCAGCCGCGGUAAUACGUAGGGCGCAAGCGUUAUCCGGAAUUAUUGGGCGUAAAGAGCUCGUAGGCGGUUUGUCGCGUCUGCUGUGAAAACCCGAGGCUCAACCUCGGGACCUGCAGUGGGUACGGGCAGACUAGAGUGCGUAGGGGAGAUUGGAAGCUCCUGGUGUAGCGGUGGAAUGCGCAGAUAUCAGGAAGAACACCGAUGGCG
Molecule: ribosomal RNA, 350 nt
Filed under: uncultured bacterium
Lineage: Bacteria
Description: partial 16S ribosomal RNA
Rfam family: Bacterial small subunit ribosomal RNA
Source: RNAcentral